AACGAACGCUGGCGGCAGGCUUAACACAUGCAAGUUGAACGGGAUUUGUGUGGUGCUUGCACCAUAUAAUGAGAGUAGCGCACUGGUGAGUAACACGUGGGAACGUGCCUUUUAGUGGGGGAUAACAUCUGGAAACGGAUGCUAAUACCGCAUACGCCCUGAGGGGGGAAAGAUUUAUUGCUAAGAGGUCGGCCCGCGGUAGAUUAGGCAGUUGGUGGGGUAAAGGCCUACCAAACCUACGAUCUAUAGCUGGUCUGAGAGGACGAUCAGCCACAUUGGAACUGAGACACGGUCCAGACUCCUACGGGAGGCAGCAGUGAGGAAUAUUGGGGCAAUGGAGGCAACUCUGACCCAGCCAUGCCGCGUGAGUGAGAAGGUUUCGAAUUGUAAAGCUCUUUCGGGUGUGAAGAUGAUGACGGUAACACCAGAAGAAGCCCCGGCAAACUUCGUG
This 451-nucleotide ribosomal RNA is filed under the name uncultured bacterium. Its description in RNAcentral is "bacterial SSU rRNA". It matches the Rfam family "Bacterial small subunit ribosomal RNA", at positions 29 to 507 of the family's 1533-position model. The record is from RNAcentral.